GGAUCAAUAUUUCGGUCAUGCCGUUGGUAUGCACUGUUAUCAUUGAUUUCUCACCUUCUAAAGAAUCGUAAUGCCAUUAAUUUGGUGUUACGGGGAAUUAGGACUGUUACCUUGAAAAAUUAGAGUGUUUAAAGCAGGCUCACGCUUGAAUACAUUAGCAUGGAAUAAUGAAAUAGGACAUCCGAUUCUAUUUCGUUGGUUUCUAGGAUCGAUGUAAUGAUUAAUAGGGAUAGUUGGG
Molecule: ribosomal RNA, 238 nt
Filed under: uncultured Glomus
Lineage: Eukaryota; Fungi; Glomeromycota; Glomeromycetes; Glomerales; Glomeraceae
Description: partial 18S ribosomal RNA
Rfam family: Eukaryotic small subunit ribosomal RNA
Source: RNAcentral